Molecule: long non-coding RNA, 477 nt
Filed under: Heterocephalus glaber (naked mole-rat)
Lineage: Eukaryota; Metazoa; Chordata; Mammalia; Rodentia; Bathyergidae
Description: lncRNA (ENSHGLG00100033104.1)
Source: RNAcentral
CAUACAGCUUGCUAAGAUUUUGAUUGAUUGAGACAUUAAAUCAACUUGGGAAGAAUUGACGUUUUAAUAACAUCAAGUCUUACAACCUGCAGGAAGAGCUGUAGAAGAUGUCAUCAAUUCUUCCAAUCACUGGGAAGGGGUUAAGACGCAGACAGACAGAUGAUCACUAGAUUUGACAGCAUGGGAACCCUAACAAGAGCAACUGUGGUGGUAGGAAGUAAGGUCACAUGUCAUUGAUGGGCACAAUGGAUUCCUGACCUCUCUUCUCUUUCUCUCUUUGCUUCCUGGUUGCCAGGAGUACCAUUGAGCUUACUGUGGACGCACAGCAAUCAGUGGAAAGAAGGCCAAGAUAGAAAACAUUUCAGCACUCCAGAAGGUUCUCUUGUGUCUCCUUCCAGACAGAAGAGCCCCAAAGAUAACUGUUGUUUUGAACUUCAUAUAAAUAAAAUCACUCAAGCGAAGCACGUACUAUUUGUG